GAGCUGUGCCCGAAUACCCAAGGACCACUUUGAUAGAGUGAUUUAUUGGAGUAUCCUCCAGCUCUU
Molecule: transfer RNA, 66 nt
Filed under: Phractocephalus hemioliopterus (redtail catfish)
Lineage: Eukaryota; Metazoa; Chordata; Actinopteri; Siluriformes; Pimelodidae
Description: tRNA-Ile
Source: RNAcentral